GUGCCAGCAGCCGCGGUAAUACCGGCAGUCCGAGUGAUGGCCGAUCUUAUUGGGCCUAAAGCGUCCGUAGCUGGCCGCGCAAGUCUGUCGGGAAAUCCACCCGCUUAACGGGUGGGCGUCCGGCGGAAACUGUGCGGCUUGGGACAGGAAGGCUCGAGGGGUACGUUCGGGGUAGGAGUGAAAUCCCGUAAUCCUGAACGGACCACCGAUGGCGAAAGCACCUCGAGAGGACUGAUCCGACAGUGAGGGACGAAAGCUGGGGUCUCGAACCGGAUUAGAAACCCCCGUAGUCC
This 293-nucleotide ribosomal RNA is filed under the name uncultured prokaryote. RNAcentral's name for it is "partial 16S ribosomal RNA". It matches the Rfam family "Archaeal small subunit ribosomal RNA", at positions 455 to 747 of the family's 1478-position model. The record is from RNAcentral.